ACGAUGCAUCUAGAUUGCGGAUCCGCGCCCGCAGAGUUUGAUCAUGGCUCAGAUUGAACGCUAGCGGGAUGCUUUACACAUGCAAGUCGAACGGCAGCACGAGAGAGCUUGCUCUCUUGGUGGCGAGUGGCGGACGGGUGAGUAAUAUAUCGGAACGUGCCCAGUAGCGGGGGAUAACUACUCGAAAGAGUGGCUAAUACCGCAUACGCCCUACGGGGGAAAGGGGGGGAUUCUUCGGAACCUCUCACUAUUGGAGCGGCCGAUAUCGGAUUAGCUAGUUGGUGGGGUAAAGGCUCACCAAGGCAACGAUCCGUAGCUGGUUUGAGAGGACGACCAGCCACACUGGGACUGAGACACGGCCCAGACUCCUACGGGAGGCAGCAGUGGGGAAUUUUGGACAAUGGGGGAAACCCUGAUCCAGCCAUCCCGCGUGUAUGAUGAAGGCCUUCGGGGUUGUAAAGUACUUUUGGCAGAGAAGAAAAGGUAUCCCCUAAUACGGGAUACUGCUGACGGUAUCUGCAGAAUAAGCACCGGCUAACUACGUGCCAGCAGCCGCGGUAAUACGUAGGGUGCAAGCGUUAAUCGGAAUUACUGGGCGUAAAGCGUGUGUAGGCGGUUCGGAAAGAAAGAUGUGAAAUCCCAGGGCU
RNAcentral lists this ribosomal RNA (647 nucleotides) under uncultured Alcaligenes sp. RNAcentral's name for it is "bacterial SSU rRNA". It matches the Rfam family "Bacterial small subunit ribosomal RNA", at positions 1 to 609 of the family's 1533-position model. Lineage: Bacteria; Pseudomonadati; Pseudomonadota; Betaproteobacteria; Burkholderiales; Alcaligenaceae. The record is from RNAcentral.